This is a non-coding RNA of Caenorhabditis elegans, 21 nucleotides long. NCBI's taxonomy places the organism in Eukaryota, Metazoa, Nematoda, Chromadorea, Rhabditida, Rhabditidae. The record is from Ensembl.
UUACGCAUACUUGUUGGUUGA